RNAcentral lists this long non-coding RNA (3568 nucleotides) under Homo sapiens (human). RNAcentral's name for it is "PREDICTED lncRNA (TCONS_00060968)". Lineage: Eukaryota; Metazoa; Chordata; Mammalia; Primates; Hominidae. The record is from RNAcentral.
GCGGCCGCCCAGCGCCCGUCCCCGCGCCGCACUCCCCGGCACUCCCCGGCGCUCCCCGCGCCGCGCGCCCCGCACCGGCUGGAGGCCCCGGCCCCCCGGCGUUCCCUCUCCGCGCACCUCCCGGCCCGCGCUAGGUAGCAGGCAAGAGUGUGGUUAUCGUUGGACCAGGAUUCAGGAUCUGACUGAGUAGCUGACUCUUAAUCCAGUUUGUGUUGAUCACCAGGAGGAUCUGGACCUCAGUAUUACCACAUCUAGAGCUAUAAUCACAUCCCUGUUAAGCCUUCCUGAGAUCACACCAAAUGUCCUUGAUGGGAAUUGUAAACAACCCUUACUUCUGGUUUCUAAUGAUAUUCCAGGAAAGGAGCCUAACUAGAGUCAGUGAUAUGCCAACUCCACCUUUGCCUUCCACCAUGUUUGGAAGCUCCCUGAGGCCUCACCAGGAGCAGAUGCUCGUCCCAUGCUUCCUAUAAGCCUGCAGAACUGGAAAAGAAAGCUGGAUAAAGUAUUUAUAGAAGAUAGAGGACCUGUGGUGGCUCAUGCCUGUAAUCCAAGGUGGAAGGAUUGCUUGAGGCCAGAAGUUCAAGACCAGUCCAAGCAACAUAGCAAGGCCCCAUCUCUACAAAAAAUGAAAAUAAAAUUAGCCGAGCGUGAUGGCUCAUGCCUGUAGUUCUAGCUUCUAGAGAGGCUGAGGCAGGAGGAUUGCUUGAGUCCAGGAGUUCAAGAUUACAGUGAGCUAUGGUCACACCACUGCACUCCAGCCUGGGUGAUGGAGUGAGACUGUCUCAAUAAAAAGACAAAAAGGCUGGCCAGGGGCAGUGGUUCAUGCCUGUAAACCCAGCACUUUGGGAGGCAAAGGCAGGAGGAUUGCUUAAGCCCAGGAAUUUGAGAUCAGCCUGGACAACAUGGUGAGACCCCCAUCUCUACAAAAAUUUUUUUUAAAAGUUACCCAGGCAUGGUGUUGCACAUCUGUGUUCCCAGCUACUGGGGAGGCUGAGACGGGAGGAUCACUUGAGUCCAGGAAGUUGAGAGGUUGAGGCUGCUGUGAGCUGUGAUUGUGCCACUGCACUUUAGCCUGGACAACAGAGGGAGACCCUGUCAACAACAACAACAACAACAAAAAAGCAAAACAUCAUAGGCUGCAGAAAUAAACUUUCUUGUCAAUUGUGUCUUUAACCAUGACCAUUUUGAGUCAUUUCCACAGUGAGUUGCCUAAUUUUGAUGCAUUUCUGAAAACUCUUUAUAAGCAAGUAAAAUCCUAGAGAAUUGUGCCUUCAAGGAGACUCAUGGAAAGGAUGGAAAGAACUCUUGAAUACAUGUUUCUGAUAGCUUUAUGAUCAUAUCAUUUGGACUGGGUAAGAAUUCCCAGAACUCAUGAAGAGACUGACUAUUUAUUAAUCCAAGCAGGAAAAGAAUUAAUUGAAUACCAAGGAAAUACUGUGCCAGAGAUUUUCAUGCUAAAUCAGUCAGCACCGAAAUCGUUAAGAUGUGUAGUUUGAAUGAACUCCAUGAUCCUAGUCAAAUUUCCUAUGAUGACCCAUUUAAUAAACAGUGCUAUGCACCUGAAUUGGAGAAACAGAAUUGAUACUUAAAUCCAAUGUUAAUCAUAGAUUCAUGGAAAGCCUAAAUGGCUGCUUGGGUCUUCCUGAGCCCUUAAAGCUUCCAUUAUUAAAGGCUCUGCACUUUAUAAGUUAUCACUGAAGAGAGAAAAUGAUCCAGAUUUAAAAUACACAUAUUGGUGUGGUGAAUGUUCUAAAUUGCGAAAAUGGUUUAUGACCAACAUUUGGUUUGUCAUGCUCACAAUCCUGGAAAUACAUUCAAAACUUCAGGUACAUUUCUGCUACCUGAUGGGCUAUUUGAAUAUAUAGAGAGGGAUUUCAUUCAAUUGCCAUUUUCAUUGCAUGUUUUUUGGUUGUAUAGAAGCUUUCCCAUGCAAGGAGGCUGAUGCUGUUAUUACAGUAGCUAAAAGGUUAGUAGGAAAUGUGUUUUCCCCCAUGGGGCAUUCCUGGAGAAAUCUCUAGCAAUAAAGGUACUUGUUUGACUGGACAAGUUGUAAAACAGUUUAAUAAGGUUUUUUUUAGGUGUCAUAGCAUUAGGCAAAGCUAACUGAAUUGACUGGAUUGUCAUAGUCAAACAUAUUGCAGAUCCGCUUCCAAUAGAAGACAAUGAAAUAGUCACUGGAAAGCCUGUGCUCCUAAUUUUAGAACCUCAUGUAUCUUCUGCUCCUAAACUCUGAUAGGACUAAAUGCUGUGAGGCCUCAAUGCAUUAUGUUAAUGUGUAUUUUCACCAGGUCAAGGAAGCUUUUCCUGAUCCACUAACUAAGGACAAUCAAACCCUUCAUGAUCUAGAAUCUGGAGACUGUGUCUUCUGGGAAUAGUAUCAGAGAAAGACUGCCCUUACUGCCCACAUGUAGCAAAACUUUGAGACGUUGAAUUAUGGGUCCAUAAUCUCACAACUCAGAGGGGCACCUCUAGACUCUUGGAACUGUAUAUCUAUUGGAGACUUUAAGGUAAAGCUGAACAGAGAGACGUUUUUCUCCAGAAGCAGACAGCACCAUAGUCAUGGACAGCUUUCCCAAGAUCACAGAUCAAGACUUCUCUGCCGUCAUGAGACUCAUAACCUCUUAAUUUUUUCUUGCUUAUGCUUCUGUGAACAAUAGAAUUGGAAAAGGGGUGGUCCCGCGUGCACCCAUAGGGUAUACUUUUAUUUGUGGAGGAUUUUGCUGCCAACCUUAUACAUGGGCAAACUUAUGCCUUCAUGGAUGGAAGAUAAAGGGCUAAUAUGGGUUAGAAAUUUUAAUGGUACCUUUGUUUCUCCAUAAUCAUUCAGAAACAGAACACUGGUCCACUCUUGUUAACCUACAUCAUAGGUUGAAGAGAACAUUGCCAGGAGGCCUUCAUCCUUCCAGAUGGGCACCAUUUGUUGGGUCUUUUUCCGUGGUAUGAAGAAAAUGAAGCAAUGAUUAGAAAUUGGUCCCUCGGCCGGGCACAAUGGCUCAUGCCUGUAAUCCCAUCACUUUGGCAGGCCGAGGCGGGUGGAUCACCUGAGGUCAGGAGUUUGAGACCAGCCUGACCAAUGUGGUGAAACGCCAUCUCUACUAAAAAUACAAAAAUUAGCUGGGUGUGAUGGUGCACACCUGUAAUCCAGCUACUCGGGAGGCUGAGACAGGAGAAUUGCUUGAACCUGGGAGGCAGAGGUUGCAGUGAGCCAAGAUCACCCCACUGCAUUCCAGGUUGGGCAACAGAGCAAGACUCUGUCUCAAAAAAAAAAGAAGAAAGAAAGAAAUUGAUCCCUCAUAAUAGGCUGUAUAGCAGAUUCUACUGCAAAGGCUAUGGUUGCACAACAGACUUCUUUGAAUUUGCUUGCUAAACUUUUACUGGAUAAUACUGGGAUUACAGGUGUGAGCCACUGUGCCCAGCCUCUCCUGUUUAACUGUAUUCAUUCUAAUGUUUACUUACUUCUUUAAUUUGUAAAAUUGGGUCACUUAGAGUUUUUUUAGCCUAUCUUGCCAUUUAGCCACUGUUACUGAUAAUUUGGAUGGAAAAGAAAAAUAAAUUAUAUCACCUCUCA